CAGUCGCCGCGGUAAUACGUAGGGCGCAAGCGUUAUCCGGAAUUAUUGGGCGUAAAGAGCUCGUAGGCGGUUUGUCGCGUCUGCCGUGAAAGUCCGGGGCUCAACCCCGGAUCUGCGGUGGGUACGGGCAGACUAGAGUGAUGUAGGGGAGACUGGAAUUCCUGGUGUAGCGGUGAAAUGCGCAGAUAUCAGGAGGAACACCGAUGGCGAAGGCAGGUCUCUGGGCAUUAACUGACGCUGAGGAGCGAAAGCAUGGGGAGCGAACAGGAUUAGAUACCCCUGUAGUCCCUGUCUCUAUACA
RNAcentral lists this ribosomal RNA (301 nucleotides) under uncultured bacterium. RNAcentral describes it as "partial 16S ribosomal RNA". It matches the Rfam family "Bacterial small subunit ribosomal RNA", at positions 509 to 808 of the family's 1533-position model. The record is from RNAcentral.